Coregonus clupeaformis (lake whitefish) is the source of this 134-nucleotide small nucleolar RNA. RefSeq annotates it as small nucleolar RNA SNORA57. The record is from RefSeq and is a predicted model, not a curated record. NCBI's taxonomy places the organism in Eukaryota, Metazoa, Chordata, Actinopteri, Salmoniformes, Salmonidae. The transcript has a single exon.
CCUCCUUUGUUGGCAUGCAUGCUGUUGCCCUGUACAUCGCAUGUGAGUUAUGGAGAGAAGCCAAGUCCAGUGCUAUGUUUUCGGUGCCAGAAUGUUCCUGACUUCUGGUUCUAUUCUCAAUCGCUGGUACAUUC